AUUGAACGCUGGCGGCAUGCUUUACACAUGCAAGUCGAACGGCAGCGAGGAGAAUCUUGCUUCUCUGUCGGCGAGUGGCGAACGGGAGAGUAUAGCAUCUGCACGUGCCAAGUAGUGGAGGAUAACCAAACGAAAGUUUUGCUACUACCGCGUAAGCUCUAAGGAGGAAAGUAGGGGACCUAAAUAAGGCCUUACUCUAUCUGAUCGGCCGAUGCCGGAUUAGCUAGUUGGUGGGGUAAUGGCUCACCAAGGCAAGGAUCCGUAGCGGGUCUGAGAGGACGAUCCGCCACACUGGGACUGAGACACGGCCCAGACUCCUACGGGAGGCAGCAGUGGGGAAUUUUGGACAAUGGGGGAAAGCCUGAUCCAGCCAUGCCGCGUGUAUGAAGAAGGUCUUAGGAUUGUAAAGUACUUUUGUUAGGGAAGAAGAGCUAGUUUUUAAUACAAAGUAGUGAUGACGGUACCUAAAGAAUAAGCACCGGCUAACUACGUG
This 493-nucleotide ribosomal RNA is filed under the name uncultured bacterium. RNAcentral describes it as "partial 16S ribosomal RNA". It matches the Rfam family "Bacterial small subunit ribosomal RNA", at positions 30 to 507 of the family's 1533-position model. The record is from RNAcentral.